Molecule: small nuclear RNA, 107 nt
Organism: Otolemur garnettii (small-eared galago)
Lineage: Eukaryota; Metazoa; Chordata; Mammalia; Primates; Galagidae
Source: Ensembl
GUGCUCGCUUUGGCAGCACAUAUACUAAAAUUGGAAUGAUACAGAAAAGACUAGCAUGGCUCCUAAGCAAGGAUGACAUGCAAAUUCAUGAAGUGUUCCAUAUUUAA